CCUACGGGAGGCAGCAGUGAGGGAUAUUGCACAAUGGGGGAGACCCUGAUGCAGCGACGCCGCGUGUGGGAAGACGGUCCUCUGGAUUGUAAACCACUGUCCCCAGGGACGAAGGUGACGGUACCUGGGGAGGAAGCUCCGGCUAACUACGUACCAGCAGCCGCGGUAAUACGUAGGCAGCGAGCGUUGUCCGGAAUUACUGGGUGUAAAGGGAGCGUAGGCGGAGAUGCAAGUUGGGUGGCAAAACUACCGGCUCAACUGGUAGUCGCACUUAAAACUGCAGCUCUUGAGUGAAGUAGAGGUAGGCGGAAUGCGUAGUGUAGCGGUGAAAUGCGUAGAUAUCACGAGGAACCCCAGUGGCGAAGGCGGCCUGCUGGGCUCUUACUGACGCUGAGGCUCGAAAGUGUGGGGAGCAAACAGGAUUAGAUACCCUAGUAGUC
Molecule: ribosomal RNA, 440 nt
Filed under: uncultured bacterium
Lineage: Bacteria
Description: partial 16S ribosomal RNA
Rfam family: Bacterial small subunit ribosomal RNA
Source: RNAcentral